AUGCCCUCCUACUGGCCCCGGACGACUCCCUUCCCCUUAGGUACCCCACGUUCCUCCAACCAGAAAAACAAUUCCACAGAAAUGCAUCGAGAGCCUACUAAGCGCAAGCUCCCACUGUGCGCGGCAUGGUCUGCACUGGGCUCGCGGCCCGGGCUCGCCGUCCUUUUCCCGGCCAGCCCAUCCCAGCCCGAGGCCGGCGCUGCCUCAGCCGGGGUGCGGGGCGACAGCCGGGGCGAAAUGAGCCGGGCGCGGGCACUGGGGCACCGAGAGGCGGCCACGGACAACGGCGCGGGAGCCGGGGUCCAGGCGGCGGGCCGGGCGCGACCGCAGGGACACUCACCGUUCAGGGCGCGCGGGGCGGCCUCAUCCAGGGCACCUGCGGCCAGGCAGGACGGGCCCGGACGGCGCAGUCACCGACAGGGCGAGUCCGCCUGCCCUCCGGGAUUCUCCUACCCCGGCCUGCCAAAGUGCUGGGAUUACAGGCGUGAACCACCGUGCCCGGCCCCACUAGCCUUUUAGAAACCUUGUCGUCGUUCACAAACUUACCGGUCACUUCGUUAAGUGUUAGACAUAACCUUGAUGAUGUUCCAGCGCCUCAACUUAAUAAACCAAAAAGCUUUCCUGUG
Molecule: long non-coding RNA, 626 nt
Filed under: Rhinopithecus bieti (black snub-nosed monkey)
Lineage: Eukaryota; Metazoa; Chordata; Mammalia; Primates; Cercopithecidae
Description: lncRNA (ENSRBIG00000046713.1)
Source: RNAcentral